AUAAUUGUGGACUACGUGAUCCAUUUCAGCAGCUGCGGACUGGUUACAACAUUGUCCUAUGUAAUGCAGCUAUGGACCAUGCCAUUGUCAAUCAAGAAUGUUUUGGUUAAGAAAUGUAACGGCAAAUGAUCGUUUUUUAUCGUUUGCUCAUUAAUUUGUUGUUUUUGCAAGCGUUAGCUUUUUGCAGACACGUGUUUUUUGUUUUUUUUUUUUGGCACAAAUUUGACAUUGAUUUUAGUUUGUUUCUGGAAGCGUGGUGCGUCGGUUGAAUCGUUGUGCGUGGCGAUAAAUUGCAAACAAAAGUAAAAGAUUUGAAGCCAACACUUUUAAUCUACGCAAUUCUAACUGAUAUUAUCUUCGUAAUUCGACAAUAUUUAAAAUGGAAGGCAGAAAUCUUAAACAUCUAAAUGCUUGCAACGGACUUUCUAAUUACAGUGCCAAACAAACGCCAUGCUCUUCGUGCAUAAAACUUAAUGGUAGUUUUUGUUAAAUAUGGAGUUUCGUCUUUAUUAACAACAUUGUUUAAUUUAUAGAAAUGAUGGCUUAAGAAAAAAAUUACAGCAACAGCUCUCAAAAUUACAAACAACAACAGAACAGCAAAACAAAAUAAUAGUGGAAAUGUUAGCAGAGCACAAAUUACAGCUGCAAACCCUCAAUAAGUCCCAGAAAAAUGUUACUUCCCUGUCAAGCAAAUUUUCCCUCAAAUCCGAAGAAGAUCUCCAAAAAGUUGAGAGUGAAAUAUGCGAUUCGAAUGAAGAAAAAUAUAUAUCUGCUGUAAAGUAUUUAAUCGAUGGCAGCGCAAUAAAAAAUUUGGAACGCAUUUUUUCCCGGGAGAUUUGCGUAAUGUACAGUACGGAUGGUAUUUGUGGGAAAAAAUGUUAGAAGGAUUUUAAAAGAAUAUAUAAAAUUGUUAUUGCUGCAAUAAGUGACUACUCCCCCAAUAGCGAAAAAGAAUUUCGAGCAGCACUCCAAGUUGUGAAAAAAAGGCACUUCCGAGUUGUUUGUGCCCAAAACAAAAACAAAAAUUAAUUAUAUACUUCUUUUAUACUUUUUUAUAUACUUUUUAUUUACAUGAUAGUGAAUUUGAAUAUAACUUAAGUUUUUUUAAUGAAUUUAUCUUAUUUAUCUCACUAAAGACUUUCAAUGUACCCGCAAAAUGAAAUAUUUAUUUUUUUGUUUUAUACAAUAAAACACUAAUACUUAUAGUACAUUA
Molecule: long non-coding RNA, 1213 nt
Organism: Musca domestica (house fly)
Lineage: Eukaryota; Metazoa; Arthropoda; Insecta; Diptera; Muscidae
Exons: 6
Source: RefSeq, a predicted model, not a curated record